Molecule: long non-coding RNA, 4981 nt
Filed under: Sus scrofa (pig)
Lineage: Eukaryota; Metazoa; Chordata; Mammalia; Artiodactyla; Suidae
Description: lncRNA (ENSSSCG00000060555.1)
Source: RNAcentral
AAAGAUGCUUAUUUCUGCACAUUUUAACAUCUUUUUAAUCAGGCCCAUGUUAAUUACAAGUACCAGCAUUUCUGUAUAACGGCAUAUAAAAUAAUUGUGCAUCCUAAAACCGAUGGCAUCUUAGUUAUUGAAAUCCACCAAAGUUUCCAAAAGUGUCAAAUUAUACCCAAUGUUAUUACUUUUCAAUAGUAAUAAUAUCCCCUUCAUAUUUGUAAGAUUCAUAUUAAAUAUUUAUUGAAUACACAUUAUUUUAAAAAUAACUUUUAUUUUGUGCUUUUAACAAAAUCUUUCUUUCCUCACAUACAUUAUACACAUACUUAGCCCUGCUUUCUUUUUUUCUUUUGUUUCCUGCUAUUUUUUAUUUCCAUUAUGAAAUGCAAUAUGCUGUGUAUCCCUGGAUUAAAAUGUUUCUGGUUUUAUGUGAUUCAUAGCACUUAGUAGGUUAGAAGUUUAGCCUACCAUUAAAUUUUCUUUAAGAGAUUUGAAAAAUGCAUGGUCCCCACAAUGUCAUAUAAUGGGUUAAACUGAUGGUAUUUCAUUUCACCUAUAUCACAGCAUCGACUUUGGCAUGGCAAUGAAUUGUGAUAAUUACAAUAAUGGGAAUUACAAACCAGCUGGUCAGUUACAUCAUGUUACAAAUGGUAAAAAAUAAUCCCAUUCUUUACUUUUAUAUUUUAAAAUAUGACAAAAUAUGAAUGACAACUGUACUAACUUUUCACCAAACAUGCAUUUUUAUUUUAAAAACUUUAUAAUAAACUUAUCUGUCAAAAUGUAUAAUUUGAAGAAUAAUUAAUUUAGAUCUAUACUUAAGACUGUAUAAAACUAGCAGUGGUGUUUUUUAUGAUUUAUUUUUGUUUUGAUUAGUGGUUUGAAAGAUGCUGACAGACUACAUAAUCUGAGUUUGAUAGAAUGAUUUCAGAGGAUUUUAUUGAAUGCAUGUUCUUUAUCAAACUCCCCCCCCUUUUUUUUAAUGUGCCUUCCAAAGAGCAGAGCCUCUCAACAGACAUUUAAACUGGAAAAUUUUUAUUCCAAAUUCAUUUUCUUCUUGGUUGAUGACUAUUUACUAAUUGCUUGGUCUGCGAUUCAACAAAGCAGAAGGUAUACUCUUCUUGCAACUGGGCAGUUGAUAUCAAUGAGGAGUUAUUGCAUUUUCUGUGAAAACAAUAAAAUCAUAGGGUUCAAUCCCAAGCUAUUUCCUUUCCCACGGUGUUCCCUUUGUGGCUAACUAGCUUAAUUAGUUCUCUUAGUGCUUAUUUUUACAAAGCAAUGUCGCUGGCAUUUUCUACUUUUACUUAGGAGAAAAGCUACCACAGAAUGAUCAGAACUUUUUUUUUUCAAAUCUAGUAUAAAAAGUUCUCUGCUGAGUAUCCAUAAUAUAUAUGAGUAUAUAUGUUAUGACACAGAAAAAGUAAGAGUUAAAGACUUGAAAUUUUAAUGUGAAAUAUGCCAGUUGAAUCAAUCUAUCAUAUGUUUAUGUCUGUUUGAAAACAGAAGUAAAAGUUACAGAGUGAUAAAUAGUCCAUAUAUUUGUAUAUGGACUACUUUAUUGACAUUGUUAUUAACAUAGAACUUAAAGAUUGGUGAUUUCAUUACCCGGAAUCCACAUUGAAUAUAAUGGAAUUAAGCAAUUGGAAUUCACAAUUUUGAAUAGGGCAGGGGUUAAACUCUGGAUAGAAAAUGAAAUAGUUUUCUAAAGUAAAUAUCUACAACUGAUUGAAUUUAAUUUCAAUUGUACUAAUCUUCCAUGAGUUGAGCUAAAAUAUAUUCUUAUUUUUCAAUAAAACAAUGGGAAAUUCAAUGAAAUAAGGAUUAGCUUGUUAGUUUCAGUUUGUUUUCAUAUGGCUCUUAAUUGUUGUCCUGGAUUUACAGGAUAUCAUUUUUAUUUCUUGAGACUUAUCAGUAUAUUUAAAUGUAUACGUUUAAUCAAAUAUAUGUUGUGUUAAAUUUAUAUCGAAUAUUAGUUACAUUUUAGAUCUCAAAGUUUAGAUUUAACUUACUUUUCCUUUUGAUAUUUUCCUUCUACUAAAUAGUUUCAGAUAGCUGUAUGUUAUUUUCCCUUGGAUUUUCUUUCAAUAAAUGAAAUUAUGUUAAAUACUCUUAGUGUUUUGGGGAAAUUUCUGCUGUCAAUAAGCACUUAAGUUAGAAACAAAAGAUAUUUAAAAUGGCAAUUAAUUUGCAAAUUAAGAUGAAAAUGCCAUCAUUUCUCUCACUGUUAAAAAGCUUUUAUAGACUCAACACUGCAGUGAAGCACAAUUAGCCCAUUAAAGAUAUGUGUUGAUUUUUACAUCCUUUGUGAGGGACUAUUUAUAAGAUUGUGUUGAACAAGCAGGCACUAAAAUCUUCCUGAAUGAACUGUGAUUUAAGAAUUAUUGCUCAAUUUAAUAACUGGGGGCUUCCAUAUGCUAUAUGAAAUAGCUGACUGCAGACUGACAGCACUGCUAUUAUCCAGGAUGAAAGUUUUAAUCACGUAUUUCACAAGGGCACUGCAGGCUAAAUGUUAAAUCUUCUAGGGGAAAUAAAUAAUACUACUUGACAAUGACUUGAGUGAACCAAAGUAUAAAUGGGAUACUAGCACUUAACUUGCUUAUUAUUGUUUCCCUACUGCCUAUUUCUCUUAGUUUUCACUUAAUCUUUUGUUUUAUAUCCAAAAUACAGCCAUGAAAUUUUGGAAAUUCAGAUACAAUUAACAUUAAAAGACCCAUUAACCGUCCUUAAAAAUCAAAUCCCCAACUGCUCCCUAACUGCAUAUUAAAGUACAGUUUAUUCUUCACAAGCUGUUUAGUUUAAUAGUCAAAUUAAGGACUUUGCCCAUAUUUGAUUCCUAUAGUACUUAUAUUAUUCCUUUAAAUUAUUCUUGGAGUUCCUGUUAUUGUGACUCAGCAGGUUAAGUACCCAACAUUGUCUACAUGAGGAUGAGGUUUUGAUCCCUGGCCUGGCUCAGGGGGGUUAGAAUCCAUCAUGGCCAUAAGCUAUAGCAUAGCUCGCAGAUGAGGCUCAGAUCUGGUGUUGCCAUGGCUGUGGUGUGGACCACAGCUGCAGCUCACAUUGGACCACUGGCCCAGGAACUUCCAUACACUGCAGGUAUGGCCAUAAAAAUAAUAUAUAUAUAUACACACACAUAUAUAUAUAUUCUUUAGUUGUCUGCAUAUCUGCUUGCCAGCUGAGGUCAUGACUUCUUCCAUGUCAAGGAUGUCUUCUUACAAAUUUAAGAGCAUCCAACUUACCUAGAUCUAUAGAGACUAUUGAAUUAAUGAUUACUGAAUUAAUCCAUGAUUUAGACCUCUAUUUAGAAUGGAACUUAUUCAAUGAAUAUAAGAAAUAAACAGCAAUGUGACCUUUCAGUUAUAAGAUCAGUGACAUUUCAUGGCAGAGGAUAUCUCCUAUAUGCUGGGGAAAAUGAGGAGUCAAGGUAAAUGAAACAUCAGUUUAAGCAUUUCCAACACAAUUUUCUGACACUUCUUAGUUUAACAGAAAAUGAUUAUAUUUCUUAAUAAAACAGCAAAUGUUAAUGAUUCUGCAAACAAAAUCAUUAUAUGGUUAAACUAAAGAAAAGAAGACUAAUUCCGCAUGUUUUAUGUUAGAUGCCAGCAUUAUACAUGGGAAUAAUACUGCAUAGAAUCUUUUCUUUCAACCAAAAUAUAUUAAUUAUAGAAUAUUAUGCUUAAUCUUACCUUAGGGAGAUCACAUGAGCCACAUUCAAAGUCUCAGUUCCUUUCUAGAGUUUGUUAUAGUAUAUUUCUUGGGAUCCAAUCAUCCACUAAAUGUGAAAUGAAGUAUAUUAAAAUAUGCAAAUAUUCUAAAGAGAUGUAUAAUAAUCUGAACUAUAAAACAUAGUUAUAAAAAUAAGAUAUUUAGUUCUGGGCAGUAUUUUGGGUAGCAAAAGCUAGAUUCUUACAGAUAUAUCAAAAUAUGAGAAAAAAAUUAAUUUUCAAAAUUGCUAACAGUGUUGAACAGAGAUGACAGUUUAUUACUAAGUUUUUAAAUUUUAUGUUCUGCUUUGAGUUGUAUGUCUUAAUUUCCAAAAUUAACACUAUUCAUCAGGCUGAUGAGCCCAAAAUAAAUGAUAAUACAGUUAUAGUAUGUGUCAAAUACACAAUAGUUAAUUGUUAAUUAAAAAAAUAAGCAGUACACCAUUAUAAUUUUUAAUGAUAUAGACAUGCAUCUUUGGUUUUACCUUUAGGUUUUAACAGUAUCAUAAAUAAGAACAGGAUUGUGCAGGUACUCAUAGGGCUUUUCCAUGCAGGAGUAUCUAUGGGUACUUGAGGCGUAUCCAUUCUCAAUCAAUAUCCCACAUCCAGGCCCGCAAUUCCUUACUCCAGUCCUUCAUGCUUGGUGCUACUUUCUCCAUUUAGUCUUCUUUCAAACUCUAAAUAUUCCCAUCAGGAAAAUUUAUUCAUCCCUAAUAUUUGGGGGUAACAUUUUAUCAGCUCACAGUCUUUAACUGUAGCAAAAUAGACUGAGAAAACCAUGGACCUCUUGGAAGGGGCCAAGGAACAGGAAGGAGAAGCAUGCAAAGAGGAGAAAUUUGGGAUUUCAAAGACUAAUACCUUUCACAGUUUUCCUGAGGACAGGUCCAGAUUACAUAUCCAGCAUAUAAAGCAGAGUUAGAAUAAGAGGAAUGUCAGGCUGUCAGAUAUAGACAAAGAAUGGCUCAAAGAACAGAGUGAUGAAGGCUUUGGACAGAAAUAUAAGGAGUAAGGUCAGAGAGAGGGAGGCAAUGUGAAUAGACGUGGAGGAUGCAUUUAAAAAUGAAACUGGGAAUUCCCACUGUGGCGCAGUGGAAACGAAUCCAACUAGGAACCAUGAAGUUGUGGGUUCAAUCCCUGGCCUCACUCAGUGGGUUAAGGAUCUGGAGUUGCCUUGAGUUGUAGAUUACAGACAUGGCUUGGAUUCUUCAUUGCUGUGGCUGUGGUGUAGGCCAGCAGCUGUAGCUCCAAUUCAACCCUUAGCCUGGGAACCUCCAUAUGCCGUGGGUGUGAAC